Molecule: ribosomal RNA, 268 nt
Filed under: uncultured prokaryote
Description: partial 16S ribosomal RNA
Rfam family: Bacterial small subunit ribosomal RNA
Source: RNAcentral
UACGUAUGUCGCAAGCGUUAUCCGGAUUUAUUGGGCGUAAAGCGCGUCUAGGCGGAAAAAUAAGUCUGAUGUUAAAAUGCGGGGCUCAACUCCGUAUUGCGUUGGAAACUGUUUUUCUAGAGUACUGGAGAGGUGGGCGGAACUACAAGUGUAGAGGUGAAAUUCGUAGAUAUUUGUAGGAAUGCCGAUGGAGAAGUCAGCUCACUGGACAGAUACUGACGCUGAAGCGCGAAAGCUUGGGGAGCAAACAGGAUUAGAUACCCUGGUA